This 495-nucleotide ribosomal RNA is filed under the name uncultured bacterium. RNAcentral's name for it is "partial 16S ribosomal RNA". It matches the Rfam family "Bacterial small subunit ribosomal RNA", at positions 28 to 507 of the family's 1533-position model. The record is from RNAcentral.
GACGAACGCUGGCGGCGUGCCUAAUACAUGCAAGUAGAACGCUGAAGGAGGAGCUUGCUCUUCUGGAUGAGUUGCGAACGGGUGAGUAACGCGUAGGUAACCUGCCUGGUAGCGGGGGAUAACUAUUGGAAACGAUAGCUAAUACCGCAUAACAGUAGAUGUUGCAUGACAUUUACUUAAAAGGUGCAAUUGCAUCACUACCAGAUGGACCUGCGUUGUAUUAGCUGGUUGGUGGGGUAACGGCUCACCAAGGCGACGAUACAUAGCCGACCUGAGAGGGUGAUCGGCCACACUGGGACUGAGACACGGCCCAGACUCCUACGGGAGGCAGCAGUAGGGAAUCUUCGGCAAUGGACGGAAGUCUGACCGAGCAACGCCGCGUGAGUGAAGAAGGCUUUCGGAUCGUAAAGCUCUGUUGUAAGAGAAGAACGAGUGUGAGAGUGAAAAGUUCACACUGUGACGGUAUCUUACCAGAAAGGGACGGCUAACUACGUG